RNAcentral lists this ribosomal RNA (359 nucleotides) under uncultured bacterium. Its description in RNAcentral is "bacterial SSU rRNA". It matches the Rfam family "Bacterial small subunit ribosomal RNA", at positions 32 to 371 of the family's 1533-position model. The record is from RNAcentral.
AAUCAACGCUGGCGGCGUGCCUCAGACAUGCAAGUCGAACGCGAAAGUCCCCUUCGGGGGACAAGUAGAGUGGCGCACGGGUGAGUAACACGUAGGUAAUCUACCUUCGGAUGGGGAAUAACAACCGGAAACGGUUGCUAAUACCGCAUAAUGCAGCGGCACCUAAUGGUGACAGUUGUUAAAGCGGGGGAUCGAAAGACCUCGCGUCUGAAGAGGAGCCUGCGGCGGAUUAGCUAGNGGUAAGGUAAUGGCUUACCAAGGCUACGAUCCGUAACCGGCCUGAGAGGGCGGUCGGUCACACUGACACUGACAUACGGGUCAGACUCCUACGGGAGGCAGCAGUCGGGAAUUUUGGGCAA